This is a long non-coding RNA of Sinocyclocheilus anshuiensis, 89 nucleotides long. RefSeq lists it as uncharacterized. NCBI's taxonomy places the organism in Eukaryota, Metazoa, Chordata, Actinopteri, Cypriniformes, Cyprinidae. The transcript is spliced from 3 exons. The record is from RefSeq and is a predicted model, not a curated record.
GUGAAGCUCUUAAAGGGACCGUAGCUACUAAAUAUGCUGCCACCUGUCAUUAAAGGGAUAGUUCAGACCAUAAUCACAUUUCUGUCAUU